UACGUAGGUGGCAAGCGUUGUCCGGAUUUACUGGGCGUAAAGGGCGUGCAGGCGGUUUGUUAAGUCUGGGGUGAAAGCUCCCGGCUCAACUGGGAGAGGUCCUUGGAUACUGGCGAACUUGAGGGAUGCAGAGGAAAGUGGAAUUCCCGGUGUAGUGGUGAUAUGCGUAGAUAUCGGGAGGAACACCAGUGGCGAAGGCGGCUUUCUGGGCAUUUCCUGACGCUGAGACGCGAAAGCGUGGGGAGCGAACCGG
RNAcentral lists this ribosomal RNA (253 nucleotides) under uncultured bacterium. RNAcentral's name for it is "partial 16S ribosomal RNA". It matches the Rfam family "Bacterial small subunit ribosomal RNA", at positions 524 to 776 of the family's 1533-position model. The record is from RNAcentral.